This 403-nucleotide ribosomal RNA is filed under the name uncultured bacterium. RNAcentral's name for it is "bacterial SSU rRNA". It matches the Rfam family "Bacterial small subunit ribosomal RNA", at positions 355 to 775 of the family's 1533-position model. The record is from RNAcentral.
UGGGGAAUAUUGGACAAUGGGCGCAAGCCUGAUCCAGCCAUGCCGCGUGAGUGAUGAAGGCCUUAGGGUUGUAAAGCUCUUUUGUCCGGGACGAUAAUGACGGUACCGGAAGAAUAAGCCCCGGCUAACUUCGUGCCAGCAGCCGCGGUAAUACGAAGGGGGCUAGCGUUGCUCGGAAUCACUGGGCGUAAAGGGCGCGUAGGCGGCCAUUCAAGUCGGGGGUGAAAGCCUGUGGCUCAACCACAGAAUUGCCUUCGAUACUGUUUGGCUUGAGUUUGGUAGAGGUUGGUGGAACUGCGAGUGUAGAGGUGAAAUUCGUAGAUAUUCGCAAGAACACCAGUGGCGAAGGCGGCCAACUGGACCAACACUGACGCUGAGGCGCGAAAGCGUGGGGAGCAAACAG